CCUACGGGAGGCAGCAGUGGGGAAUAUUGGGCAAUGGACGCAAGUCUGACCCAGCAACGCAGCGUGAAGGAAGAAGGCUUUCGGGUUGUAAACUUCUUUUAAGGGGGAAGAGCAGAAGCCGGUAACCCUUGAAUAAGCCACGGCUAACUACGUGCGAGCAGCCGGGGUAAUACGUAGGUGGCAAGCGUUGUCCGGAUUUACUGGGUGAAAAGGGCGUGCAGCCGGAGAGACAAGUCAGAUGUGAAAGCCACGGGUUCAACCCGUGAACUGCAUUUGAAACUGUUUCCCUUGAGUGUCGGAGAGGUAAUCGAAAUUCCGUGUGUAGCGGGGAAAGGCGUAGAUAUAAGGAAGAACACCAGUGGCGAAGGCGGAUUACUGGACGAUAACUGACGGUGAGGCGCGAAAGCGUGGGGAGCAAACAGGAUUAGAUACCCGGGUAUC
RNAcentral lists this ribosomal RNA (441 nucleotides) under uncultured bacterium. RNAcentral's name for it is "partial 16S ribosomal RNA". It matches the Rfam family "Bacterial small subunit ribosomal RNA", at positions 338 to 794 of the family's 1533-position model. The record is from RNAcentral.